RNAcentral lists this ribosomal RNA (253 nucleotides) under uncultured bacterium. Its description in RNAcentral is "partial 16S ribosomal RNA". It matches the Rfam family "Bacterial small subunit ribosomal RNA", at positions 524 to 776 of the family's 1533-position model. The record is from RNAcentral.
UACAGAGGGUGCAAGCGUUGUUCGGAAUUAUUGGGCGUAAAGGGCGCGUAGGCGGUGCCACAAGUCACCUGUGAAAUCUCCGGGCUUAACUCGGAGCCUGCAGGCGAAACUGUGGUGCUGGAGUGUGGGAGAGGUGCGUGGAAUUCCCGGUGGAGCGGUGAAAUGCGUAGAUAUCGUUUGGAACGCCGAUGGUGAAAACAGGUUGCUGGGGCUGCGCUGACGCUGAGACACGAAAGCCAGGGGAGCGAACGGG